UACGUAGGGAGCAAGCGUUGUCCGGAAUCAUUGGGCGUAAAGCGCGCGUAGGCGGCCUCAUAAGUCCGUUGUGAAAGUCAAAGGCUCAACCUUUGAAAGCCGAUGGAUACUGUGAGGCUAGAGUCCGGAAGAGGCGAGUGGAAUUCCUGGUGUAGCGGUGGAAUGCGCAGAUAUCAGGAGGAACACCAAUAGCGAAGGCAGCUCGCUGGGACGGUACUGACGCUAAGGCGCGAAAGCGUGAGGAGCGAACAGG
RNAcentral lists this ribosomal RNA (253 nucleotides) under uncultured bacterium. Its description in RNAcentral is "partial 16S ribosomal RNA". It matches the Rfam family "Bacterial small subunit ribosomal RNA", at positions 524 to 776 of the family's 1533-position model. The record is from RNAcentral.